GCCCUUGAGAACGCUGUGCCUCAGGUGGCCUCUGGUCAAGGGAGGGAGGCUGCAAGGUGUAGGCCGGCUGGACGCGAGACAGACAGAGCCCAGCCCCGCCUAAACCAGCUGACCCAGCCGGCCCCAGACGCAGAGCAAGAAAUGAAUGCACACUUAAUGCCACAGAGACCUGAGCUUUGGUAACACAGCAACAUCAGAGUGUCCUUGGGCAACAAAGGAAAAAAUAUGGAAAACGAGGGGGUCAAGAUAUUUUGCGCAGAUUCACACUGUGGACCUCGCCAAGCUCACAGCUGGAGGAACUUCCCUGAGGAUGAACCCUGCCUGGAGUCUCACCCACAUCUGACUUAGAUGAGCCUCUCAGCCUUGGACUUCUGAGUUGGUGCUAGAAGGAGGGCUUGAAUUGCCUAUAGCUUCAUCUGGUUCUGAUUCUGCAUUUCUGUGAGUUAUAUUAACUCAACCCGGUUCCUCCACUUACCCCCUUUACUGAAUUCCAAAGGGGGAAAUGGAAUUUCCUCUGCGGAGAGAGAAGAGUGCUAUGGGACGAACGUCUGCACCCCCAAACUCUCGUGUGGAAGUCCCCACCCAAUGACAGCGUCUGGAGGCGAGGCCUUGGGAGACCAGAGGGUUCGGAUGAGAUCGCAGCUGGAGCCCUCCAUGAUGGGCCUGUGUGCUUACAAGGGGAUGAAGGGUCAGCCACCUGCGUCUGCGAGGCUGGGUGCAAGAGGAAAGCAGCCCUCUGAGCCAGGAAGAGGGCCCUCCACAGAGCCAGCCGUGCUGGUGCCCACCCCAGACUUCCAGCCUCCAGGCCUGGGAGAAGCAGCCACAGCCCCGGGAGAAUCCCAGGCCAGGAGGCCACGGAAGGGGCAGGGGGCCCCAGCCCUGCCACGGCUUGAACUCCCUUGCUUACAAGAACGCAGCUUUGCUUCCAGCCCAGAAGUAAGGAGGCGGAAUCUGGAGGAAGCGCUCUCUCCAGAACGCAGCCUUUCUGCGCCCGAGUCGGUGGUCAGUCUCCCGUGCUGACCAGCAUGGGAAAAUCAAUUAUUACAAGUCACUCGUCCUCCUCCUACAGGAGAAGCAGAGACAAGCGGACAGGCGCAUCAACCAGAGAGCACUCAGCCUCAAGCCAGAUCACGCCACCCACCCAUCCGGCAAGCGGGAAGGGCCCGGCUCCAUCCCUGUGUAUCUGAGAAGGACAGUCUCCUCCAUUCCAGUUUCAUGAGGGCCCGGGAUGGCCCUGUUUUCAGUCCCAAAUCAGUUUCAGGCCUGUUUCUCAAUUUAAAAAUACAAAUUGAGUCUUCAUUUUGAAAUUCUCUCAGUUUCUGACUCUCCAUUAUAGAUCUCGAGCAUGGCGCAUCCAAUUAAAAGCCCCUCAAAGCGAGAUGAUUUCUUUCCAGCUUACCCCCCACCCUGGGCCGAGGGUAUCUAAAUGUGCAAUUGACCAAAAUAAACAGCUCCAUUUCUGAAUUGAGAAUGUCAGCUUCAUCAGCCUGGGGAGACACAGCGUCUUCUUUCUACAGCAGAUGACUCCUGAGUCACGGUUGAAAAUAUCCUCACUCGUUUCAAUAAAGGUAAUGAUUUCAACUGAUUUAAAACUAAGUCCCGUAUCAAGGAAAAGAUUUUUGGUGUAUUUUCUGUGGAAGUAAAAAUACUAUUCAAAAUCUAAAGCCUGUGGUUCAGGAGAAAUUAAAUAUUGAAAGUGCUCUUUGGGCUUUAAAUGACACGAGAUGUUUCUGAAUGUUAUAGUUUAAAAAUACUCUCUAAGAAUACAAGCCAAAUGACUGCAGGAUUAUAAGUUCCCUCUCCCAGUUGUUCAGGUAUUAAAAGCAGGCACGAGUAAGAAUAGCCUUCAGAAGAACUAAUAAACAGCCAGGAGCGCUCCCGCCCCACGGACCUGCCCUCUCACCACAGCCCUCCGCCUAACAGCACCGACCUGUCCUCUCUAGAAAGAUAAAUCAAAAACAAAAACAUGACUCUGACGACGGGUGGAGGGCACAUUCUUGGGUUCUUCCCUUGGAAGCAACACCCUGGCUGCAGAGGGGCCUGGUAGUGCCUGGAAUUCAACUUCCCCAGUGGGUGCUCGGCCGGGCUCAGUCCCCACCUACCUUCCGCUCCCAGUAGAGACUGAUGGCUGAUGAACAAAGCACUGCCCUGCCCAGCCCACCUCCCCCAAGACGAAGCCUGUCCCAGGGCCAGAGCUGCCUCUCCCUGCAGGCCCUGCGGCUCACGUCUUCUCCUUCACCCAAGUGGUCACAUCUCUCCAUUUUGAGAACAAAACCCAAUAAGAUAAAACCCAGCUGCACACAAUUCACAUUAGCCAAAGGAUGGAAAUAACGUAAAUGUCCAUUGACUGAUGGACGUUUAGUGUGUGUCAAGACAGUGGAAUAGUAUUCAGCCAUGAAAAGGAUUGAAGUAUCAAGAAGAGCUAUGA
This is a long non-coding RNA of Sciurus carolinensis (gray squirrel), 2428 nucleotides long. RefSeq lists it as uncharacterized. The transcript is spliced from 3 exons. Lineage: Eukaryota; Metazoa; Chordata; Mammalia; Rodentia; Sciuridae. The record is from RefSeq and is a predicted model, not a curated record.